CAAUAGCGUAUAUUUAAGUUGUUGCAGUUAAAAAGCUCGUAGUUGGAUUUCGGGUGUGAACGACCGGUCCGUCUUUGAUGUGUACUGGUUGGUUGCGCCUUAUUGUCGAGGACGUGGUUCUAGCUUUCAUUAGCCGGGACACGGAGUCGGCAGCGUUACUUUGAGAAAAUUAGAGUGUUCAAAGCAGGCUAUCGCUCUGAAUACUACAGCAUGGAAUAACACGAUAGGACUCUGGCUUAUCUUGUUGGUCUGUGAGACCAGAGUAAUGAUUAAGAGGGACAGUCGGGGACAUUCGUAUUUCAUUGUCAGAGGUGAAAUUCUUGGAUUUAUGAAAGACAAACUACUGCGAAAGCAUUUGCCAAGGAUGUUUUCAUUAA
RNAcentral lists this ribosomal RNA (377 nucleotides) under uncultured eukaryote. RNAcentral describes it as "partial 18S ribosomal RNA". It matches the Rfam family "Eukaryotic small subunit ribosomal RNA", at positions 592 to 976 of the family's 1831-position model. The record is from RNAcentral.